CCCUUAGAUGUUCUGGGCUGCACGCGCGCUACACUGAUGCACUCAACGAGUUUACGACCUUGUCCGAGAGGAUUGGGUAAUCUUUUUAAAAUGCAUCGUGAUGGGGAUAGAUUAUUGCAAUUAUUAAUCUUCAACGAGGAAUUCCUAGUAAGCGCGAGUCAUCAGCUCGUGCUGAUUACGUCCCUGCCCUUUGUACACACCGCCCGUCGCUCCUACCGAUUGAAUGUUUCGGUGAAGAUUCCGGAUAGGACUUUUUUGAUUUAUUUCAAUUUUGUCUUAAAAGCUAUCUAAACCUCAACAUUUAGAGGAAGGUGAAGUCGUAACA
Molecule: ribosomal RNA, 325 nt
Filed under: uncultured eukaryote
Lineage: Eukaryota
Description: partial 18S ribosomal RNA
Rfam family: Eukaryotic small subunit ribosomal RNA
Source: RNAcentral